GCAGGACUCCCUCCAGGGUGGCAGGAACAGCAGUUUGGGAGUGGCAUUUUGGAGGCCUGGGGACUGUCCCCACAUCACCAACCAGUGUGUCAGGUGCUCCCACUGUUUCCACCUCGGCUGCCCAGGGCUCUGGCAUGACUCUGAGGUGACAACUGCAAAGAUUCUACCCACAGCCACCAACCAUCACCAAGCCCGAAACACUAAACCUUACCAGCGUUGCUGACAACCAUCUGCUAGGGCAGUUCGCACUGCCUGCACCAGGAAAGGCUGCCCAGAGGCUUGAGGACGUGCCCAGAAGCCCCAGGGCGCCAGGGGAACAUGUCAGUGAAGCGUGUGUGGCUGGGGACUCCCUGGCUCAACUGGGCUCCCAACCCCUAUCCUGCUGGUCCCUUGGCUCUUCCCAAGGGCUCCAUGAAGUUCACAGACUGGCUGGUUCUAGGGCCAGCAGGAACCGCCCUCGCAGGUGGGAAGCCCAUGCAAAGCACUGCUUUCAGGAUCACAGGCAGGUCGGGGGCCGAGGGCUGAGCCCUGAACCAUUCUCCGCUUUAAACCUUUGCUUAAGGAAAACUGUUUAGCAAAAGAACACGACAAAAAGACCCAUCUGUGUGCACAGAAAGGAAUCCUGAGGUGAGGAGAGAAGGAAGGAAUCCUGAGGUGAGAGAAGGAAGGAAUCCUGAGGUGAGGAGAGAAGGAAGGAAUCCUGAGGUGAGCAGAGAAGGAAGGAAUCCUGAGGUGAGGAGAGAAGGAAGGAAUCCUGACGUGAGCAGAGAAGGAAGGAAUCCUGAGGUGAGAGAAGGAAGGAAUCCUGAGGUGAGAGAAGGAAGGAAUCCCGAGGUGAGCAGAGAAGGAAGGAAUCCCGAGGUGAGCAGAGAAGGAAGGAAUCCCGAGGUGAGAGAAGGAAGGAAUCCUGAGGUGAGGAGAGAAGGAAGGAAUCCUGACGUGAGCAGAGAAGGAAGGAAUCCUGAGGUGAGAGAAGGAAGGAAUCCUGAGGUGAGCAGAGAAGGAAGGAAUCCUGAGGUGAGCAGAGAAGGAAGGAAUCCCGAGGUGAGAGGUGAGCAGAGAAGGAAGGAAUCCCG
This 1076-nucleotide long non-coding RNA is filed under the name Pan troglodytes (chimpanzee). RNAcentral's name for it is "long non-coding RNA NONPTRT017708". The record is from RNAcentral. Lineage: Eukaryota; Metazoa; Chordata; Mammalia; Primates; Hominidae.